UUUUUAGUAUAAACAUGUCCCAUACACUAUUUAGGACAUACUUAUACUAAAA
Molecule: microRNA precursor, 52 nt
Filed under: Canis lupus familiaris (dog)
Lineage: Eukaryota; Metazoa; Chordata; Mammalia; Carnivora; Canidae
Also listed under: 1 other name
Description: mir-1302 microRNA precursor family
Rfam family: mir-1302 microRNA precursor family
Source: Rfam by way of RNAcentral